This is an RNA transcript of Fundulus heteroclitus (mummichog), 7874 nucleotides long. It is a transcript of the gene named SH3 and multiple ankyrin repeat domains protein 1, with no coding region annotated. The transcript is spliced from 28 exons. The record is from RefSeq and is a predicted model, not a curated record. Lineage: Eukaryota; Metazoa; Chordata; Actinopteri; Cyprinodontiformes; Fundulidae.
GGAGUUGAAAGAGUGUGUGAAGGAAACAGUACAGUAGCUCAGGACGGCUCACUAGGACAGGAGAAAAUGUGAUUUUUGAACCAGUUUGUUGUUUUUUGUUUCAAUUUUCUCCAUCUCUGAAAUUCUGGUCGUGUUUUUUUAUUUAUUUUUUUACUCUUUUUUUUUAUGGUUCAUCAAGACAAACACUGAGGAUACAAGAAGGAGCACCACAACCAGACUGAAAGCAUGUUCCCGAGGACCGAGCCGCUCUCAUGGGACAGCCGCGCUUUGUCUCCAUGACGGCUAGAUCCCUCGGCCCUCUCUGCGGUGACCACCUGCGCAGCAAGGGAUGCUGGGAAAUAACGAGCAUUUCUAUUCCAGUCAGGAAGACAAAGAUGGGGAGGACGAGGAGGAGGAAGAAGAGCAAGAGGCAAGAAACGACGAAGGCCGCCGCGGCAGAGAGAACGGAGGCCUAGAGGAUCUGGGGGAGGAGGAGAUGAUCGGAGGACGGCAGUCCUGGGAGGCGAAGGGCGGAGAGGCCAUAGUGGCGGGUAGACAGAGGGUGGACCGAGCGUUAAGGCCGGGAGUUCUGGAGAACCGGGGCGUCCCCCACAUGUCCAGUCAGGCCCAACAACAUCAUCCCGGCCAGAACAAGCUGCAGCAGCAACACCUGAUGGCGGCGAAGAGACGAGCCCUGAUGGAGCGCAGCAUGACCACCAUGGCUCCUCAGGAGGACACCUUCAUGACCAUGAUGGUGUUCCGCAUCGGCAUCCCUGACAUCAAGCAGACACGGUGCCUCCAGUUUGACCAGGACUGCACCGUGUGGAGCGCCAAGCAGCAGAUCGUCUGCUCGCUCGGCGAGUCCUUGUGGGACGUCUACAACUACGGACUUUUCCAGCCGGCUGGAGAAGGACGGGACGCCAAAUUCCUGGAGGAGGAGCGGCUCCUGCGAGACUACGCCCGCACCUUUGAGAAAGGGGUUCCCUACCUUGAGUUUAGGUACAAAACCCGAGUUUAUAAGCAAAUCAACCUGGAUGAAAAGGCUCUGGCUAAGCUCAGCACCAAGGCCAGCCAGAAGAAGUUUCUGGAAUACGUUCAGACUGGAGCGAUGGAGAAAAUGGCAAAGGUUCUGGAGAAAGGCCUUGACCCAAACUUUCACGACCCGGACAGUGGGGAGACGCCGCUCUCCGUGGCCGUGCAGUCCGGACUGUCGGUGGACGGCGUCCGGUUGCUGGUUCUGGGCGGCGCUCACCUGGACUUCAGGAGCAGAGAUGGGAUGACGGCGCUGCACAAAGCUGUCAGAGCUCAUAAUCACGCUGGACUGCUGGCUCUUCUGUCUCUGGGAGCGUCUCCGGACUACAAGGACCGCUGUGGCCUGACCCCGCUGUACCACACCGUGCUGACAGGGGGCGAAACGUCCUGCUGCGAGACCCUGCUCUACUACAGGGCCAAGCUGGGCACCAGGGACGAGAAUGGCUGGGAUGAGAGUCACCAGCACAGGGAUGAAGAGGAAUUUGGAAUGGAAGAAAUACACAAGGCUUGCCAGAAUGGCUUUGCACAACACUUGGAGCAUCUGCUGUUUUAUGGAGCAGACACUGCUUCUCAAAACGCCUCAGGGAACACGGCACUUCACAUUUCAGCCCUGUACAAUAAGGAAAGCUGCGUCCGGGUUCUUCUGUACAGGGGGGCAAACAGGGAGGCGAAGAACAAACAUGGUCAGACCCCGUUUCAGGUAGCUGUGAUGUCAGGCCACUUUGAGCUCGGGGAGAUCAUCAAAAACCACAAAGACACCGACAUCGUUCCCUUUUUAGAAUCGCCAAAGUUUGUGCCCAGGCGAAGAGAGAGCGUCCACACGCUGCCUCUUCCUUCGCUCCAUUCCCACCCCCUGCUGCGCGCUAACAGCGAUAACACCAUGACCCAGUCCGACCCCUUGAUCCUCCCCAGCAAGGCUGCCACCAACCCUGGACAGGGCCAGCGCCGGGCCUCCAUAGGCGUCAGGAGCUCCAGCAGCCCCAGAAACCGCACACGUUCCCCCUCCAGAGGCAGAGGAGGCCAAAGUGACACAGAGGAAAGACACCGGCAGCCCAGAGGCAGGCAGGGCAGCGCGCCAUCGGCCGGCAGUGGGGGAGGCCAGAUGAAGCGAAUGUACAGUGCAGUGCCGGGGCGGGUGUAUGUCGCCAUCCGCUCCCACUCUGCAAGUGGAGACAGAGAGCUCUCACUUAACAAAGGCGACAAAGUAAAAGUGCUGAGCGUGGGAGAGGGGGGGUACUGGGAGGGAACGGCGAGAGGACGCACCGGCUGGUUUCCUUCUGACUGUGUGCAGGAGGUAGCCCCGCCCAGCAAGGAAAAAGAGACGCGAAGUGAAAAGGCCAAGAGGAAGCUUUUCCGCAACGUCACAGUGGGAGCAUACGACGGUACCGACGGCCCGAGCGACUACAUCAUUAAGGAGAAGACAGUGCUCCUACAGAAGAAGGACAAUGAAGGCUUUGGCUUUGUCCUCAGAGGAGCCAAAGCUCAGACUCCCAUAGAGGAGUUCACCCCAACGCCAGCCUUCCCUGCGCUGCAGUACCUGGAGUCUGUCGAUGAGGGGGGCGUGGCGUGGAGAGCGGGCCUGAGGAUGGGCGACUUCCUCAUCGAGGUGAACGGGCAGAACGUGGUGAAGGUGGGUCAUCGGCAGGUGGUGAACAUGAUCCGACAGGGCGGCAACAGCCUGAUGGUGAAGGUGGUGAUGGUGGCCCGAAACCCCGAGCUGGAGGACACGGCACGAAAGAAAGCUCCUCAGCAGACGAAAAGACUGACCCCUCCUGCCAUCGCCCUGCGCUCAAAGUCCAUGACGUCGGAGCUGGAGGACAUGGUGGAGAAAGCAGCUGCCUCUCCGUGGAAGAAGAAAGCAGAAUAUGAGCCUUCCCAGGGUCCUGAUAAGAAGAGAACAGUUUAUCAGAUGGCGUUAAAUAAACUGGAUGAAAUAUUGGCUGCAGCCCAACACACCAUUACAUCAGACAACCAGGGCCAGAGGGGUCACGGAGGCAAGAGGGACCGAAGCAAGAGUAUUGUUCCCAAUGAGCAACCAUAUGAGCAGCAGUCGUCCGUGAGCAUGAUGCAGACCGGGCAAGGAUUUGGCUUCAACCAGGCCCAUUUUCAACCAGGCCACGGACAACAGCAUGCAGUCAUGAUGCGUCAAAAAUCUAUUGGUGUAACAGAAGAAGAAAGGCAGUACCUCCACCCGCCCGCUAUGAAACUGGCUCGCAGCCUUUCAGUCCCAGGACCUGAAGAAAUCCCACCACCCCCCAACACGUCUGCCCCAGAGCCGCCUUUAUCUGCAGGCCCUUAUCCUGGCAGAGGCCCUGCUAUGCCCAUACCCCCAGUAUCUCAAGCCCACUACCAGCUCCACUCACAGCCAGCGUAUCCUCAGCAAGCUGCCUGGGAGAUGGGAGGACCCGGAGCAAUGAACCAGCAGGUCAUGGUUCCCACCCUCCGCCGGCAGUCAGAUGGACUGUGCAUACGAGAGCCAGAGGCGCCUCGGAGAGGAGGUGGCAAAAUGGGAGGGCUGAGGAGAGGAUACAGCAGUGCCACACCACCAACAAGUGCAAAGCCAAAGGUCCAACAGGUCCAACAUCCUGCACAACCCCCCAACAGAGAGCAAGGUGGACGGGACGGAAGGGGAGCGGCGAAGCGCGGCGGUCGGGGAGCUUUGAUCAAGCAGUCCAAGGUGGAAGAUGGGCUGAGACAGCAUCGGGGUAAAGGAGGUGCAACCAAGGAGAAGAGCUCCAUCCCCAUCCCCACAAUCAUUGUCAAAGCGCCCUCCACCAGUAGUAGUGGACGAAGCAGCCAGGGCAGCAGCAUGGAAGCGGAGCCCACCCAGGAAGCGGAGGACCAAACCUCUGGAAACGCAGCCCCAGACAGCGCCAGCACAAGCCUACCCUCGCCGCUGACCCCCACACCGCCGCAGCAGACUACGCCCAACUCCUUGCCUUCAUCAACCGUGGCGCCUGCUGCAUCUUCGCAGCAAAACCUGGAGAAGGUGGACUAUACGUCAACAUUUGGCACGGCGUUUAGUGGAGGAGGAACGCGGAGGGACAGAGAACGCUUAAGAGACAUGAGGAGAAAGAGCGCUUCGUUCUUUCAGUCAUCAGAGGAAGACAUCCAAGGAGAGGCGGGUGGCGGAGCAGGAGGAGAAGGAGGAGGAGGAGGAGGACAUGAGGCACAAGUUCAGCCUUUGCAAAGCUCAAAAAUGGAGGUGCCAACUCCUCGACUUCGGCCUUCCAAGUCUAUAGAUGAGGGCAUGUUUUCUGGGGAAAACUACAUAAACUAUUCCAGUAGCAUGCCCCCAGCUUUUGGCCUUCCAGAGUACUCUUCACCGAUCCUUGGCCAGGAUGGUCAGCCCAAGUCAGCUCCCUCGGUGUAUGGCACCCAGCCUGCUACGACCUUCAUCCACCCACUAACGGGGAAAGUGCUUGAUCCCUCGUCCCCACUUGGUCUGGCGCUGGCUGCAAGAGAACGCGCUUUGAAAGACGACCGGAGGACACGCCGAGACGACAGGCACUUUGGCCGGCAGCUGUCCACGGUCGGAUCGUACCCGACGCCCGUUCAGACCCCAACACCUUCACUAUUUACAACCCCAACACAGUCUGCGUACACCUCUCCGGUGUCCCUCCACCUCGGAUCCCCCUCGGUCACCACCUCACCUGCCUCUUUAAGCCGGCCACAGUCACCGAGGAUUUUACGUUUAGGAGGAGGAGGAGGAGGAGGCGGCGGGGAAAGGAUGGAGAGAGAGAAAGAGGGCGGACCUAAGGAGGGUCUUAGGGUUCGUUUCUCUGAGGACAGAAACAGCCAGUUUCCAACCCAGUACUACCCACAGAGCAGCAGAGAGAGAGAAAAGGAGCUGUACGAAAGCAAACAUGCUCAGCCUGUUCAGCCUCCUCCCCCGCCAGCUCAACCUGCCCCCCGUAGACCUUCCUAUCUGCAGAUGGAAAACGUUCCCAACACGAGCUAUAUUCCACAGUACACUGUCCCCACAGCUCCGUCACAGACUAACGACGCAAUGGGAGAAGCGAGAGGUGGGGCGGGUGGCCUGGGACUGAUGGUCCUACCUCCUCCAACUCCCUCGAUAGAUGUAGACGAAGAGUUUGUUUUUGCAGACCCGUUGCCCCCUCCUCUACAGUUUGCUAAUGGGAAGAAUGAGAGAGCGCUGGAGUUCUCCCAGCAUCAUCAGCACCAGAGUCAACACGCUGCUUCUGUUGCCCCACCUCCGCCGCCCCCUCCUCCAUCGCCGAAGCCCUCAAAUGCUCCCCAACCCUCGUCACAAGGGGGCGACUCCGCCACCUCUAGCCUCACUUCCUAUGACAGCGAAGUGGCCAAUCUCACGCAGUCUGCACUCUCCCCGUCGUAUCCGUCCCCGCAAAUAUUCGCACCGUCGUCCAGCACUAACACCUCAGCAGCCGCGGCGCCUGCCACAUCGCUACACAGACCCCAACCCAUGUCCCAUUCGUACUCUUACUACGGCGGCACUAACGACCCAUCGACUGGUGUUCAGACCCCAGCCCAGGACAGAGGCACAGCUGCCCUGACCACCACCAUGACCUAUGCUACUACUACCACGACAGCAACCGCUGCCGCCACAACUACCACAACCUCUCCAGCGUCCUCUGACUACAGCAUGGCCGGGGUCAAAGUGGGCCUUAGCACGGGAGGUAAAGGAACCGAUCCCUCCCAUUCCAGCACAGUCAUCUCGAAGAGCGGAGACUGGCAAGACGCAGUGGUUGAUUCUGGAAUCGAGGAGCUGGACAGCCACAGCAGUAGUGACCAUCAUCUGGAAAUGCUGGGACUGAGCGGCCUGAGAGGAGAAAAAAUGGGACUUGGAGGCGACGGGCGAGGAGGAGAGGCGGAAAAAGUCAGUGACCAUCAGGAUCAAUGCACAACCUACAGGGGAGGGCAAACAUUCGAGUUGCACGCCUCCAAAAUGGCAAACCCCGUCUUUCCAAAAAUGACUCAUUACAAAGAAGUGGAAGGGCGGGGUCCGCCGAUAGCUUUACGCAGGCAGAACAGCACCAACCCGGCUCCCUUGCAGCUGCAGAGGCAAAGCCACCCCGAAGACGCCGGUCUAGACAGAAGUCUCGUCGAUGACAGAAAGCACAAGCAGAGUCGGUCCAGAAUGGAAGAUGGCUUCGGCUCCGCCCUGACGGCCUGUUUAGAGAGGCCCGUGGAGCCUCGGUCGGUGCUCUGGGGGGAUAUUGCUGAAAAUGAGCAAGCAGCUCUCCAGCAUGGGGGUGUGGUUUUGGAGGGUCGCAGACUUCACUCGCCUUUCUCUGGUGUGAAAGCCAGCAUCAUCAAUGAGCUGAGCUCCAAGCUGCAACAGAUGAGUAGCAUGAAGAGCAUGGAUGACUGGAGCCACGCUCCAAAGUCCCCCAACGUGCAUAGGUAUUCAGCAGAUUUUACGGAUGCCUUCCACAGCCCACCGACUGGUCGCUCCACCUCGCCGCUACCGACCUCCUCCCCGCAGCAUCGACAGAUCCUGACUCCCAACCUCUCGGCCUCCCCUUCUGUCUCUCCGUCUCCUCAAGUCCCAGUUCAGCGCAACUGGACCCGAUCCCCUUCUCCUCAGAUGCCGACUUCCCCGGUACAUUCCCAUCCUCCCCAUUCUCCAACCUACUGCCCAUACCCAACAUCACCUAAGCACAGAUCUAAGUUGCGCAGGCAGACGUUUGAUUUUCAGUGUAGUCCCUCUAAAGAGAUGCGGUCCUCGGUCUCCAGGCGCCGGGCUCCCAGCCCGCUCAUCUACAGCACCGAACAGCCGAACCCCGCCCCACCCAGACCGUCCUCCCUCCCCAUCCUCCCCUCCACACCUAUCUACAGUAACCCCUUUGACUUUCCUGGCCCCCUCACUCCUCCGUCUCCUGGACACUCUCUUGGAGAUCCCUACCAUGCUUCGACUCCCCCGCUGUUCUCUCCAUCUGGCGUGCCGAGUCCAAACCCUCUUCUUGUCUCACGCUCUCUCUCCCCGACUCAUUUCUUCUCCGGAGCCUCCUCCCCUAUGCACCUACCACCCAGCCCUUCAUGCCUCAACUAUCCCCACCUCAGUCCCCUCCCCCCGGCCAAACCCUUCGCCAUCAAACCUCUGCCCUACUGGACCAAGUACGACGUUGCCGACUGGUUGACUUACUUAAAUUUGGGUGAACACAGGGAGCGUUUUAUAGACAACGAGAUAGACGGAUCUCAUCUCCCCUCGCUUACUAAGGACGACUUCUUGGACCUGGGAGUGACACGUGUGGGGCAUCGAAUGAACAUCGAGAGGGCCCUGAAGAAACUCACUGACAGGUGAGGGAGGACCAAAACAAGCUCAGGGAGAUGUAGAGACGACUCAAACGGUCCGAAAAGAAGUACUGGAAGGCGAAGGAAAGCCAAAGUGUCUCGCUAGCUUCAUUUAAGCGUCUCUCCUCUCCUUUGCAUGUCCCCACAUCUCCUCGAGACACAGACUGAGAAAGUGAAGGGAUGAUUCAGAGGUGAAAGAAAAGGGAGAGAAACUAAUUGACAAAGAUGAUGAAUAUCAGAAGAUGUGCAAGAGAAGAACAGUGGACAUCAACAGGCUGCGGUUUAGCAAAGCCUAAAGGGGUGGAUGUCUGCGCCAAGGUGUUUGCUUUGCUCCUCAUACAUUUGUGGAACGAGUAUAAAAAGUCAGAAUGUCCUAAGUUGGUGGUUUUUAAGUGGAAAUAUGUUUCUAAACUUUUGAUGGACAGGCUUUUAAUUAACGCACUAUUUUGUGGUGUAAAAGAAUUAAAAAAAACACACUCACACGGUUUUUUUUCCCAGGCACAGUGACAGAUGGAUUCUCGCACCAUCUGCUGCUCAGAGCUGCUGCUGAGAAAACUUAAGUUGGAGUUUAAAGACAAGCAGACAAG